CCCUUUUUUCAGAUGUUUGUUGGAAUUGUUAACCCUUUUCCUUCGAAUCAUUAUUAAAAGGCAGACUAAACUUUAUUAUGAGCAUAUACCAACCAAGUUGUAAGUUUAUUGUGCAAAUUGGGUGAUGCUUCAGGAACACUA
This is a small nucleolar RNA of Drosophila melanogaster (fruit fly), 141 nucleotides long. NCBI's taxonomy places the organism in Eukaryota, Metazoa, Arthropoda, Insecta, Diptera, Drosophilidae. The record is from Ensembl.